UAAUACGGGGGGAGCAAACGUUGUUCGGAAUCACUGGGCGUAAAGGGCGCGUAGGCGGCUCGGCAAGUGGUGUGUGAAAUGCCCUGGCUCAACCAGGGAACUGCGCACCAAACUGCCGAGCUUGAGGGCUGUAGAGGAAGCUGGAAUUCCUGGUGUAGCGGUGAAAUGCGUAGAUAUCAGGAGGAACACCGUUGGCGAAGGCGAGCUUCUGGGCAGUCCCUGACGCUGAGGCGCGAAAGUAGGGGGAGCAAACAGGAUUAGAUACCCUGGUAGUCCCUACUGUAAACGGUGAACACUAGGUGUGGGGAGUGUCGACCCUCUCCGUGCCGCAGCUAACGCAUUAAGUGUUCCGCCUGGGAAGUACGGUCGCAAGGCUG
Molecule: ribosomal RNA, 377 nt
Filed under: uncultured bacterium
Lineage: Bacteria
Description: bacterial SSU rRNA
Rfam family: Bacterial small subunit ribosomal RNA
Source: RNAcentral